RNAcentral lists this ribosomal RNA (253 nucleotides) under uncultured bacterium. RNAcentral describes it as "partial 16S ribosomal RNA". It matches the Rfam family "Bacterial small subunit ribosomal RNA", at positions 524 to 776 of the family's 1533-position model. The record is from RNAcentral.
UACGUAGGGUCCGAGCGUUGUCCGGAAUUAUUGGGCGUAAAGGGCUCGUAGGCGGUUUGUCGCGUCGGGAGUGAAAACACGGGGCUUAACCCCGUGCCUGCUUCCGAUACGGGCAGACUAGAGGUAUGCAGGGGAGAACGGAAUUCCUGGUGUAGCGGUGAAAUGCGCAGAUAUCAGGAGGAACACCGAUGGCGAAGGCAGGUCUCUGGGCCAUAACUGACGCUGAGAAGCGAAAGCAUGGGGAGCGAACAGG